GCUGGCGGCGUGCUUAACACAUGCAAGUCGAACGGAAAGGCCCUGCUUUUGUGGGGUGCUCGAGUGGCGAACGGGUGAGUAACACGUGAGUAACCUGCCCUUGACUUUGGGAUAACUUCAGGAAACUGGGGCUAAUACCGGAUAGGAGCUCCUGCUGCAUGGUGGGGGUUGGAAAGUUUCGGCGGUUGGGGAUGGACUCGCGGCUUAUCAGCUUGUUGGUGGGGUAGUGGCUUACCAAGGCUUUGACGGGUAGCCGGCCUGAGAGGGUGACCGGCCACAUUGGGACUGAGAUACGGCCCAGACUCCUACGGGAGGCAGCAGUGGGGAAUAUUGCACAAUGGGCGGAAGCCUGAUGCAGCAACGCCGCGUGCGGGAUGACGGCCUUCGGGUUGUAAACCGCUUUCGCCUGUGACGAAGCGUGAGUGACGGUAAUGGGUAAAGAAGCACCGGCUAACUACGUGCCAGCAGCCGCGGUGAUACGUAGGGUGCGAGCGUUGUCCGGAUUUAUUGGGCGUAAAGGGCUCGUAGGUGGUUGAUCGCGUCGGAAGUGUAAUCUUGGGGCUUAACCCUGAGCGUGCUUUCGAUACGGGUUGACUUGAGGAAGGUAGGGGAGAAUGGAAUUCCUGGUGGAGCGGUGGAAUGCGCAGAUAUCAGGAGGAACACCAGUGGCGAAGGCGGUUCUCUGGGCCUUUCCUGACGCUGAGGAGCGAAAGCGUGGGGAGCGAACAGGCUUAGAUACCCUGGUAGUCCACGCUGUAAACGGUGGGUACUAGGUGUGGGGUCCAUUCCACGGGUUCCGUGCCGUAGCUAACGCUUUAAGUACCCCGCCUGGGGAGUACGGCCGCAAGGCUAAAACUCAAAGGAAUUGACGGGGUCCCGCACAAGCGGCGGAGCAUGCGGAUUAAUUCGAUGCAACGCGUAGAACCUUACCUGGGUUUGACAUGGAUCGGGAGUGCUCAGAGAUGGGUGUGCCUCUUUUGGGGUCGGUUCACAGGUGGUGCAUGGCUGUCGUCAGCUCGUGUCGUGAGAUGUUGGGUUAAGUCCCGCAACGAGCGCAACCCUUGUUCACUGUUGCCAGCACGUUAUGGUGGGGACUCAGUGGAGACCGCCGGGGUCAACUCGGAGGAAGGUGGGGAUGACGUCAAGUCAUCAUGCCCCUUAUGUCCAGGGCUUCACGCAUGCUACAAUGGCUGGUACAGAGAGUGGCGAGCCUGUGAGGGUGAGCGAAUCUCGGAAAGCCGGUCUCAGUUCGGAUUGGGGUCUGCAACUCGACCUCAUGAAGUCGGAGUCGCUAGUAAUCGCAGAUCAGCAACGCUGCGGUGAAUACGUUCCCGGGGCUUGUACACACCGCCCGUCAAGUCAUGAAAGUUGGUAACACCCGAAGCCGGUGGCCUAACCGUUGUGGGGGAGCCGUCGAAGGUGGGACUGGUGA
Molecule: ribosomal RNA, 1432 nt
Filed under: uncultured organism
Description: 16S ribosomal RNA
Rfam family: Bacterial small subunit ribosomal RNA
Source: RNAcentral